CCUACGGGCGGCAGCAGUGGGGAAUAUUGGACAAUGGGCGAAAGCCUGAUCCAGCCAUGCCGCGUGUGUGAAGAAGGCCUUCGGGUUGUAAAGCACUUUCAGUGGGGAAGAAAGCCUUGGGGCUAAUACCCUCGAGGAAGGACAUCACCCACAGAAGAAGCACCGGCUAACUCCGUGCCAGCAGCCGCGGUAAUACGGAGGGUGCGAGCGUUAAUCGGAAUUACUGGGCGUAAAGCGCGCGUAGGCGGUCUGAUAAGCCGGUUGUGAAAGCCCCGGGCUCAACCUGGGAACGGCAUCCGGAACUGUCAGGCUAGAGUGCAGGAGAGGAAGGUAGAAUUCCCGGUGUAGCGGUGAAAUGCGUAGAGAUCGGGAGGAAUACCAGUGGCGAAGGCGGCCUUCUGGACUGACACUGACGCUGAGGUGCGAAAGCGUGGGUAGCAAACAGGAUUACAUACCCGAGUAGUC
This 465-nucleotide ribosomal RNA is filed under the name Vreelandella stevensii. RNAcentral's name for it is "partial 16S ribosomal RNA". It matches the Rfam family "Bacterial small subunit ribosomal RNA", at positions 338 to 795 of the family's 1533-position model. Lineage: Bacteria; Pseudomonadati; Pseudomonadota; Gammaproteobacteria; Oceanospirillales; Halomonadaceae. The record is from RNAcentral.